This 922-nucleotide long non-coding RNA is filed under the name Cyanistes caeruleus (blue tit). RNAcentral's name for it is "lncRNA (ENSCCEG00000004365.1)". The record is from RNAcentral. Lineage: Eukaryota; Metazoa; Chordata; Aves; Passeriformes; Paridae.
CUGGCCUCUCCUGGGGAGCGCAUGGCAAUGGAGAGCCUUGAGUGCAGCUCAGAUAUUUGCCUGUGAGCAGCUCUCCUUCAAACAUGGGCUCUGUGCCCCAGACCAAGCAGCUCCUUGCAGCUCCCUGGGAGCUCUCCUGCAUAGCUGAGCACUGGCCACGAGCUGCACAAACCCCACGGGUUUGCGUUGGCUCUCUGUGAAGGCAGCUCUCCGAGGAUCCCCUGUGUGUCUCCUCUCUCCAGAGCCUUCUGCUGCCCAGACACCAAGUGGAGGAACCGUGAAGGCCGAAAUCUGUUGUCAAUGGGACUGCCCAGAGGGAAAACUCAGCCCCUGUGCUCUCUAGGGAUCUCUGCAGACAGCGCUGUCAAACCCUGUCCCUGUGGAGCUGCUGUGCUCGCCUAGGAGCUGUUAGACCUCUGGAAAACGAGAGAUCUUGACAAGGUGCUACAAUAAUUGCAUGUUACACUGUGGUGAUGUCCUGAGCCUUAAGCAGCUUCAAUUAUCUCCUUCCUUAUGGGAGGAUUUCCAGAGGUAGAGCACUAGAAAGAGACCUUUGAUGUCCCGUCUGAGCUGUGAUUGAUUUGAGAAGCGAGACGCCGCAGCAGAAGGGACGCGGAGCUGCAAGACCUCUCUGCUGUGCUGUCAAGUGAGCAGCCACUUCCAGCUCCAGCCUGGAUUAUUUUGUUUACAAGAAAGUGACAGAAUGAGAUCUGGCGCAGAUUGCCACCCUCCUGCGUGCUGCUGUGCUGCUCCCAGAGCCCGGAUUACACUGCUCAGGUCUUGCACCCCUGCCAAGAAAAGCCAUCACCUGGACUGGGAAAAAGUGUCUUGGGAGGAGCAGGUGCAAAGAGUGAGUCUGAGGGAAGAGAAGAGCCAGGCAGGCACUGAUAGAACAUUCCUGGUGAUGGAGCUGACGGUGUAA